GCCUGGGUGGCUCAGUUGGUUAAGCAUCUGACUUCGGCUCAGGUCAUGAUCUCAUGGCUCGUGGGUUCACAUCCCAUAUCAGGCU
Molecule: transfer RNA, 85 nt
Filed under: Felis catus (domestic cat)
Lineage: Eukaryota; Metazoa; Chordata; Mammalia; Carnivora; Felidae
Rfam family: tRNA
About the family: Transfer RNA (tRNA) molecules are approximately 80 nucleotides in length. Their secondary structure includes four short double-helical elements and three loops (D, anti-codon, and T loops).
Source: Rfam by way of RNAcentral